UACGUAGGUGGCAAGCGUUGUCCGGAUUUACUGGGCGUAAAGAGCGCGCAGGCGGUCGUUCAAGUCGCGUGUGAAAGCCCCCGGCUCAACUGGGGAGGGUCACGCGAUACUGAUCGACUGGAAGGCAGGAGAGGGUAGUGGAAUUCCCGGUGUAGUGGUGAAAUGCGUAGAUAUCGUAAGGAAGACCAGUGGCGAAGGCGGGUCUCUGGACAGUUCCUGACGCUGAGGCACGAAGGCCAGGGGAGCAAACGGG
Molecule: ribosomal RNA, 253 nt
Filed under: uncultured bacterium
Lineage: Bacteria
Description: partial 16S ribosomal RNA
Rfam family: Bacterial small subunit ribosomal RNA
Source: RNAcentral